Uranotaenia lowii is the source of this 408-nucleotide long non-coding RNA. RefSeq lists it as uncharacterized. The record is from RefSeq and is a predicted model, not a curated record. NCBI's taxonomy places the organism in Eukaryota, Metazoa, Arthropoda, Insecta, Diptera, Culicidae. The transcript has 3 exons.
ACACAGGCGGAAACCUGUUAGAUUAUUCUUGUUUUUAUUUUGCACCGCGCGCGGGUAAAACAUUUUUGUUCCGCUUCUCGGUUUUUCGUCGUUUUAUUUGAAUUUAAAAUUGGAUCAACAGCAGCUCGUUGGACGGAAUGCUGCAGAAGUAGCCAUUCUGCCUCCCGCGGAAAGUUACUGGUUCGAUAAUCAGUGGAAAAAUCCGAACCCCGAAGCACCAGUAGUGGUUCCGCCGGGUGAUGUGUGUGUUUUACCUGUUUGGUGAUUUCAUUGGUGAAGAUGUAAUCACUGAUCAUAAUGUAAUAGUAAAAGCUUCAAGAACACUUUUCGAAACCCGCGGUGUGAUGCGAACAAAAAUAAAAAAGAAGAUAAAAAAAAAUCUAAUCUCACUUUUUAAUAUUUGAAAAU